AGCCAUUUAUUAUUUCAAUUUGAACAUACAUAAUCAACCUCAAUAUGAGUUUAUUUUCUUCCUCACAGAUACAAAAUCUGAUGAGUUUGAGUGUUACAAAAUAAUAAAAUCAUCAAACAUAUUAUAUAGUCACACUACGCAAAACAACAGUUUCAAUGGUAAGUCCAGGUCCAAAACCGAAUAGCACACCCCAUGGGUCCAAAACCGAAUAACACACCCCAUUCGAGUCCUUCACCCGUGGUGUUGAGUCCACCUUGAGCUGAUUUCUUUCUCAUUUCAUCUAGGAUGAAUAGGACACAUGCACUAGACAUGUUACCAUAUUCACUUAGCACUUCUCUAGUGGCCCUCAUCUUUUCAGGUUUCAAGGCCAACUUCUGCUCAACCUGGUCAAGAAUUGCUGGGCCGCCUGGGUGUGCAAUCCAAAAUAUUGAGUUGUAAUCAGAUAUGCUUAGCGGUUGGAAGGCCUCGAUUAGUGCUUUCUCAAUGUUCUUUGAAACAAUCCCGGGAACAUCUUUAAGGAGAUGAAAGGUCAAUCCAACUUCACGGAGAUGACCAUCAAUGGCUCCUUCACUAUCUGGAGCAAUAGUUUGCGCAGUCCAUACUAGCUCGAACAAAGGUUUCUCAAUUUCAGGCAAUGGAUCAGAACCAACAAUGAGUGCAGCUGCUCCAUCUCCAAACAAUGCUUGCCCAACAGGGCUGUCUAGGUGAGUGUCACUAGGGCCACGAAAGGUAACUGCAGUGAGUUCAGAACAAACAUCUAGCACACGAGCACCUUUGUUGUUCUCAGCCAAGUCUUUGGCCAAACGAAGCACCGUGCCACCUGCAAAGCACCCUUGUUCCUUUUCACAUAAGGGCGAAGACCUAAGAGUUUGGUGAGUUGAUAAUCAGCACCGGGCAUGUCCACACCACUUGCGGUGCAAAAUAUUAAGUGGGUAAUCUUGGACUUAGGUUGACCCCAUUCUUUAAUAGCCUUUACUGCUGCUUCUUUACCCAGUCUAGGUACUUCUACAACCACCAUGUCUUGCCUAGCAUCCAGAGAAGGUGCCAUAUAAGCGCACAUGUUAGGGUUCUCUUUCAAAAGAUCUUCAGUUAAGUGCAUGUAUCUCUUCUUGAUCAUAGACUUGUCACCUGAAAUCAAUUAUAGAGAAACAACAUUAGUACAAUAAAAUCAACAUAGUAGUAGAAUCAAUCUGAUAAUUAAUGACUAGUCUGUCAAACAAUAUAAAUAUAUGUUAGAAUAUAGAAAAAACUGGAGAGACCAAGAGAAGAAUGCUUACACAUGCGUUGAAAUUUCUCCUUGAGCUCAGUUUUGUGCUGACUGUUGGUGACUCUGAAGUAGAAAUCAGGGUAAGUGCUUUGAUCAACACAGUUGGGAGGAUUAGCAGUGCCAAUAGCAAAGAUGGUUGCUGGGCCUUCAGCCCUCUGAGCCUUACGAAUCUCAGCUACACUCACCAUAUUUGAAAUGAAGUUUGUUGGGAAAGAUAUAAAUUUGGAAAGCAAAUGAAGAAGCAAUGGAAGUUGGUGUUAGAGAAGGUUGAGUGGGGAGAUAGGAAUUUAUAUGCGGAGUGAUUGAAGUGGUAGCUGAAGUUCACGAACAUUUUUUAUUCCACGAUUUCUUUGUUUCCUUGUCUGGUCAAUGGCUGGCGUGCGCGGUCUAUGACCUUAAGAUUACCAAGUUAGGUGGAAAAUACCGGAGGAUCGAUGGCUUUCAAUUUCAAGUAUUAAGACCCACCCACUCUUAUGAAGAUAAAUUAUGUUAAGAUCAAAACUAAACAUUUAUGUAUUACGAUAAUAUACAAAUAAAUUAGGUAAAUUCUGUGGUACCCUCAAUUUUUUUGGGUAUGGUACCCCCAUUAAAUAAUUCUAUAGAUUAUUAUCAUGUUAUUCAAGGUAAUACUACAUCUUUAGAUUUCACUUUAUUUGUCAAUUAACUUUAUCUCAUGAAAUUAAUUUUUUGAUGAAAAAUGUACGAGUGGUGGAGUUGAUGGAUGCACAAAGCUCAGAAAACACAAUUUUCAAAUCUCAAGUGCCUAAGAAUGGAACGCUGCAUUACUACAAUAGAACACAAGCAAAAUUUUAACCGAUACAUGAGCCUUUAUUGUUAAACCGACUCAUUUUGAGUACCACACCUUAGACUGGCUUAAGGUAUCACAGUAAGCCCCAAGAAAUUAAGCAAACAUAAUAAAAACACCGGUGACUAUACUUUAUACUUGUUUGAGUUCAAAGAAAUCACUGUAGUUGUUAUUAUUAAACUAGCAAGGGCCAAAGGAAAUGUACAUGUUUUUUUUAAAUAGCGUAAAAAAUAAAAAAAUUACUUUAAAAACAAUUUACAAACAUGAGAUAGUUGUGGAGUGAAACUGGUUCUUUCCGACGGAAAAUUAAAUCCGUCACAAAAUAUUUGACUGAAGAACUGAAAUAUUCAGUAAGAAGAGAGAAUUAGCGACGGAAAAUUAAAUCUGUCACUAAAUACAACUUUUCCGUGUAAAACGCUUCUGUGUCUACUUGGGACGGAUUUUUACCCUCACAAAAUUCCGUCGCUAAAUCUUAUUUUCUUAUCAUGUUCCGUAAGUUUAGCGAGGGAAAUGAAUCCGUCUCGAUUUAGCGACGGAAUAGCUUUAAUGGUCAUGCUGUCAUUUUAACCAUCUGUGCCGGUUUUUGCGACGGAAUAUUUCCUUGUAAAAUAUUUCGUCGCUAAUUAGACAGUUUAAGUCAGCUUUUUGUGACAGAUUUAUUUUCCGUCGCAAAUUACCAAUAAAGUAAAUUAUGCUUCUUGUAAAUCUCCAGUAAUAGAGGUGAACCAAAUAAUAUGCUUGCCCCACUUGUAAAUCAAGUUUCUGAUCUAUAGCUCAUGCAAGUUUAAUAUAAGAAGUAACUUCAACCCAGGCAAUUAACAGUAAAAUCUAAGCUUUCAAUUUGAGGAAACUAAGCAAGCCUAACUAACCCAUUCUGAGAAAGCGGAUCCGAGCCAACACUUCAGACUCAAUCUGCCUUGGUGUAGCUGUUAUCACCUACUUAAUUUAUUAGAAAGACUAGCUAACAUCUCCAGUAGAAAAAUAUGUAUGAAAAAAAUGAAAAAUGGAGUAACUCAAAGAUCAAGAAUUGAUGAGCACUCUUGUUUUGAAGCUAUCAGAAGUUUGACUGUUGUUUCUCCAAGCUAAAUCUGCAUUAGAAGGGAAAAACAUAUUAUGAUAGACUCUUGGAGGUUUCUACUAACUAUAGGUGGGUAGAAGCACUGAUAAACAAACCUGAUAGUUAUUUGGGCCAUCAUGAACCAGUCCAAGCAUCACCAGUGUAUGGUCUAGCACAAUCAUUUGGGCAGCCAAUUACCCUUUUAAGUUAUAAACACAGACUCUUAUACUUCAAACCAACCUAAAUUGCAAAGUGAGAAUUAAAAAGUGUCCUGAUUAGUGAUCUCCACCAAAUCAAUAUUGUAAUUUAUGUCAAUACUGACUUUCAUCUGAAACAAUAAACAUCACAAAUCCGCUCAACAAUUUCUUUAAUGACUUGCGCUCAGCAUGUAUCACCGUGUUUGAUAUCCAGUUAAUGAAUGAGCUAUCCUGUUUAGCAUAGGAUUUGGAACCAGAUUAUCAGAAGUUUCUUCAACGUGCUUUUUAUUCCCUCUUUUACUCCCAAGCAUCAACUGUCAUUGAAAGUUAGGUCUCUUCUUACUUUGGGAAAAACUCAGUACUGUUAUAGAUUUCAACACUUGACUGGCUGUCACUCUCCUCCAUUUACAUCACCGUCUGAUAAGGACUUUUCCUUGCCCUUGUUUCUUGACAUAUAAAUUCAGCUAUUACAAGGAGAAUGCAUAACUGGAAAUUUUUUAACACAUAGUAGCAUGAUUUUACUGUCCAGGAAUUUGUUUUUAAUCUCAUUGACUGGAUUCUUAUCCCUGCAAGACUAAGAGACACAAAAGGUACUGAGGCAAGGAUUAGAAGGGGUUAGCCUCUCUUGGUGCUAUAGGAGCCUUUAUGGAUAACUGUUCAAUAAGUCUAAGACCAGCAACCUAACAUGCUAACUGUGAUAUUGAAGGAUGUAAAAAAUAAUCAACAUGUCAAACAUGCACUUGACAAUAAAAUAAGGGUCACAUGUUUUCCAAACAAUGAUACAUAAACAUAUAUUCAGUUUUGAAACAAAUGAAAAAAAGCAAUUAGCCAUUCAUUAUUUUGAUUUGAACAUACAUAACCAAACUCAAUAUGAGUUUAUUUUCUUCCUCACAGAUACAAAAUCUGAUGAGUUUGAGUGUUACAAAAUAAUAAAAUCAUCAAACAUAUUAUAUAGUCACACUACGCAAAACAACAGUUUCAAUGGUAAGUCCAGGUCCAAAACCGAAUAACACACCCCAUUCAAGUCCUUCCCCAGUGGUUUUGAGUCCAUCUUGAGCUGAUUUCCUUCUCAUUUCAUCUAAGAUGAAUAGGACACAGGCGCUUGACAUGUUACCAUAUUCACUUAGCACUUCUCUAGUAGCUCUCAUCUUUUCUGAUCAAGAAUUGCUGGGCCGCCUGGGUGUGCAAUCCAAAAUAUUGAGUUGUAAUCAGAUAUGCCUAGCGGUUGGAAGGCCUCGAUUAGUGCUUUCUCAAUGUUCUUUGAAACAAUCCCAGGAACAUCUUUAAGGAGAUGAAAUGUCAAUCCAACUUCACGAAGGUGACCAUCAAUGGCUCCUUCACUAUCUGGAGCAAUAGUCUGUGCAGUCCAAACUAACUCAAACAAAGGUUUCUCCGGAUCAGAACCAACAAUGAGUGCAGCUGCCCCGUCUCCAAACAAUGCUUGUCCAACAAGGCUGUCUAGGUGAGUGUCACUAGGGCCACGGAAGGUAACUGCAGUGAGUUCAGAACAAACAACUAGCACACGAGCACCUUUGUUGUUCUCAGCCAAGUCUUUAGCCAAACGAAGCACCGUGCCACCUGCAAAGCACCCUUGUUGGUACAUCAUGUACCUUUUCACAUACGGGCGAAGACCUAAGAGUUUUGUGAGUUGAUAAUCAGCACCGGGCAUGUCUACCACACUUGUGGUGCAAAAGAUUAAGUGGGUAAUCUUGGACUUAGGCUGACCCCAUUCUUUGAUAGCCUUGACAGCAGCUUCUUUGCCUAGUCUAGGUACCUCUACGACCACCAUGUCUUGCCUAGCAUCCAGAGAAGGUGCCAUAUAAGCGCACAUGUUGGGGUUCUCUUUCAAAAGAUCUUCAGUCAAGUGCAUAUAUCUCUUCUUGAUCAUUGACUUGUCACCUGAAAUGAAUUACAAAGAAACAACAUUAGUACAACAAAAUCAAUCUGAUAAUGACUAGUCUGUCUAGCAAUGUAAAUGAAUGUUAUAUAGAAAAAAAAAAUGGAGCUAGAGAGAAAAAUGUAGAAUGCUUACACAUGCGCUGAAAUUUCUCCUUGAUCUCCGUUUUGUGCUCACUGUUAGUGACUCUGAAGUAGAAAUCAGGAUAGGUGCUUUGAUCAACACAGUUAGGAGGAUUAGCAGUGCCAAUAGCGAAGAUGGUUGCAGGGCCUUCGGCUCUUUGAGCCUUACGAAUCUCAGCAACACUCACCAUCUUCAAAUUCUUUGUUUCUGAAAAUAGGUUUGUAAGCAAAGAAAUAUGGAUAGCAAAUAAAGCAGUGCAAUUUGAGCUAAGUUGCAGUAGUUGUUGUUGGUUGUGUAAGAGAGUUGUGGUGUGGAAACUUGUGUGAGGAGAAGGGAAUUUAUAUGUGUGGUCCGUGCGAAGGUUGAUUUUUGAGUUGAGUGUGGUAGCUGAGCAUCACGUGCUGACUACUAUUUUCAUUCUUUCUUUAUUCAACAAUCAGUGACUAUGUUUGGUCAAUGGCUGGCUUGGCUUGGCUGCGCAGUCAUAACCUUCCGAAGUUUGGUGGAAAAUACCUCAAUAAUGAUUCCUAAAAGUCUAAAACCAUAGGUUUGGUGCUGACUACUAUUUUUAUUUUUUAUUAAAUAAAAUUGUAAAACUGUUAAAUGCCUACCAAACACAUUUAUACUUUACCUGGAAAAAAUACUCUGGUAGUCAUAUUCCCAUAACCGUAAGUGUUAUUAUGAGGAAUAUGCUAUUGAAUACAUUUACUUUACGGUUACUGGCCAUCACAAUAUACUUCACAUAAUCUCAUAUGGUCAAACAAACUCUCUAUAUGGUACUGGCAUCGCAAUAUGUUAUUGAAUACAUUUACUUUACCAUUACUUAAGUAUGUGUUUGAAUUUCAGUUAGCAUCAUCGAUAACAAAACCUAAGUGUGUUUGGAAAACUCUCCAACAUUAUUUUCCUAUAAUUUUUUAUGUAUGAAAAUAUGAGAAAAACUAUAUAACCUAGUGAUAGCUUUAUUUUUGUUUGUGACACAGUCAAUUACCAGCUGUUUCUUUUAGAUUGCCAGAAGCCCAGAACCAUAGGUGCCAAAACUUGAUUUAUGGUGAUUUUCCACUAACCGCUGGUACAGGGCGCCAGAAAUUGUGUUUCAUUUACCGGUGACACAAAGCCGCCACUAUAUAGGUCACCACAAGAUGUAUUUACUGGCAGUUUCAGACCCACAAUCUGUACAAUAAAUUCCACAUAAAUCUUGCAGUCCACCACUGAGUGACAAUUCUUAAUUUCUUUGUUGUUCUAUUCAUACAUUGUCUUUCAAACUCAAAAUAUACUGAUGAAAGAUAGCUCUAAUGAUCUUACUAGGCUUUUGGAAGUAGAAAAUAAGAUUAUUCUGGAUAUUAAAACCCAGCAUUGUACUAUCCACUUUCCAAGCCAAAUCCUUACCCUAAUGUCUCCUGAAUAAAUAAGAACUACAGGAGACCAAAUCCAGCAAGCACACUGAAUUUUAAUAUUUAUUUUGAAAAAUAAGGACUACAGAAGGAGACCAAAAUAACCAGGGAAACUGGAGAAACUAAAGGAACAGUCAGUUUGACUCUCUUUAUAUUGCAUACCUCUACUUGUAUCAAAUAUUUUAGUCUAUGUGGAUGACAUAAGAGUUACUGGUGACUCUCUUAAAGUGAUGCAGCUGAUUGUUGACAGGUUGAAUUCUGAGUUUGCAUUGAAACAGCUUGGCCAAUUGGAUUAUCUUUUGGAGGUUCAAGUUUAGCAUUUGAAAGAUGGAUCUCUACUAUUAGGAUAAUCCAAGUAUAUCCAUGACUUGCUUGAGAGGGUUGUUAUGUCUGAAGCAAAAGAAAUUAGUACACCAUGGAAUCAUUGGUUGCCCGAUCCAGUACAGAGGCAGAAUAUAGGAGUCUCGCAAAUACUGUAGCUGAAUUACUCUGGGCUCAGUCAUUGCUCACAGAAUUGAAAAUUCAUUUUCAGACUCUAAGGGUAUACUGUGAUAAUAUGAGUACAAUUGCCCUAACUCAUAAUCCAGUUCUACACUCCAGAACUAAACAUAUGGAGUUGGAUACUUUUUUUGUUCAGGAAAAGAUUCUAAACAAGAGUUUAAUUGUUGAGCAUGGCACAUCUCUUGAUCAAAAGGCUGAUAUUCUCGCCAAAGCACUGUCUCCUAUUCAUUUUUCAGCUUUCACGCACAAACUCAAUGUGGUUGACAAGUUUGCUUUCUAACCUUGAGUUUGAGGGGGCAUAUUAGAGUGUUAUCUUUAGUUCUACACUGUUAUGGUUCAGCUGUUCUGUUAGACUACUUGGUUUUCUACACUGGUAUCUUUCAGAUUGAUUAGUUUGUAAUAGUUAGCUUCUCUAAGAAGCUAAACUCUGCAGUUCUAUAUAAACAAAACUCAUCUUGAACUCAGCAAGCUUUUCAGUUAAUACAAAUCUGAAACAGAUUCAUAGAAGAGUUUUUUUUCCAAACUUGCAUUAUGGGGCUUGAUGCUGAAUAGAAGAGUUUUUUUCCAAUACACAUCCCAGUCAAUAUUGUAAAAUACAUAAAACUCUCAUAUCAGAAAAGUUUACACUGAAACAAAUUCCACACAACCGAAAUGUCAUGCCAUCAGAUAACUGAAACUGAUUAAAAGCAGAAAAAUUAAAUAAUUACAUAGAUAUAUUAGUAUAUUACCAACGAUAGAGAGACAAACAAAGCCAAAUUCAUUUUUUUUCCAAAUUUUAAUUGUCUGUAAACCACAAGAAAAUAUUCAUACUCAAAUAUUAGAAGGUACACUGAAACAUUCAUCAGGACAUAAACUAAAGAAAGGGUACAAUCUUUAGAAGGCUGAGCUUCAUUCUCAUAUGGCUGCAAAUCUCUUUCCACUGAUGCAAGUCGAUGAUGCUGUUACAAAAAUGUUGAGUAGCAAUUGUAACACAUAAAUUUGCAAAAGGAUGAAUGACCCAUGAAGAAGUAAGAAGCAAGAAUAGGCAUUAGACAGUAUGUAUUAACAAUAAGCAAGAAAUCAUGCAGUUGACAUAAAUUCAUGAAACCAUUUCACUUUUGCAUAAAAAGUUGAUCCAAGAUUCAUGUUAAUCUAAAAACAAUAAACCACGUUAUAUAGCAUAAUUGUAUUUUAAAAAGUUGCAUAUUCCACACAAACGACCAACACUCACACUAACGAAAAUGUAAUACAUGCAUAAUUAAAUUAAAGAGAGUCAUUCCUGCCAAUUUUAAUUAUAAUAAAAGGAUCAACUACAAUUUUUUGCAGAAAAUCAAGGAUCAGAACAUUUCAACCAAGAGAAAGGACCACGAAACAAAUGUACAACCUCAAUAAGUACGUUAUAAAUGACUGUAGCAUGGAGCCAUGAGCACUUCAGUAUUUGAUGAAAUUUCUAGUAUCAGGCACCAUAAGGAUAAUAAAACCAGCAAAUGAACAGAAAGAUGAGGAUCAUUAAUUAAACAUAUCAAAUCAAUGUUAUUGAGCCUGGGCAUGGUGAAUCUGAACUGAAGAAAGCAACUCGGGCCUCUCAGUCAGGUCUUAGGCCUGAGUAAGAUUUCUUCUGCCUUCUCAGAAGCCAAUAUAGCUUGGGUAAAAAAUGACUCAAUGAGAAAUCUAUAUGUAUCAAAUCUAACAGGUGAACUGUAAAGGGCUACCUUUUGAGGUUGGUUGGAACAAAGUAGAGAAAAAAGCAUUUCUCUGGUCUCUCUCAUAAGUAUAUUGCCCAGCAAAAAGAAAAGGCUACAGUGCUACACUUAGGUAAUACUUAAAACAAUUCAACCUGAAUAAUACUUCCACAGACAAAGUGAGAUUCUUCCAAUUAAGCAAACACUCACAAAAUAAGAUAAUAAAGCAUAGUUUUUACCUUCCUCUUCUUUAGGACAAGAUCCAAGCACCAGCAGCCUCUGCCACAACCAAGAAGGAAAUUAACUUAAAUAGGUAAAAGCAUCCAAAAUGAAUCGAUAUUUUAUCAGCUUAGAAUUCAAAAUGAAUACAAUGAUAAAAGCAGCAUACGAAACUGAAGCAGAGUGGUGCCAAUCAAGUGUAGAUGGAAAUACCAAAUGAACACCAUAUCCAUGUCUUAUAGAAAUACUUGUAAUUUCCCUGCUGCUACCUCAGCUACGAUGAUAGCAAGGAGCUAUUUUCUAUGGGAAUGAUCAAUUCUCAGUGGCUUAUUCUGUCUACAACCAAACCAAGACCACUGAUUUUCGGCUAUCAGAUUAAAAAUUGUUGAGUUAUGUAAUCAAACACUUCAGUGUAACUGAUGAAGCUAUUCAAAAUGAAACACUACAUUGUAAAGGAUGCAUUAAAAAAAUAGAAUAAAGCUACUAACCAUUCAUUAAUUUAAUUUGAACAUACAUAACCAAACUCCAUAUGAGUUUAUUUUCUUUCUCAAAGAUUCAAUACAGAAUCUAGUGAGUUUGUUGAAGUUACAUAAUAAAUAAAACAAUCAGGCAUAUUAUAUAGCCACACUACGCAAAACAACGGUUUCAAUGGUAAGUCCAGGUCCAAAACCGAAUAACACACCCCAUUCAAGUCCUUCACCAGUGGUUUUGAGUCCAUCUUGAGCUGAUUUCCUUCUCAUUUCAUCUAAGAUGAAUAGGACACAUGCACUUGACAUGUUACCGUAUUCACUUAGGACUUCUCUAGUGGCCUUC
RNAcentral lists this long non-coding RNA (9931 nucleotides) under Lotus japonicus. RNAcentral describes it as "long non-coding RNA (LJAP_LNC000969)". Lineage: Eukaryota; Viridiplantae; Streptophyta; Magnoliopsida; Fabales; Fabaceae. The record is from RNAcentral.